CUGAGGCUCAAAUCCUUGGAAGACGCUUACCUCUCACAAAGUUUUAUCUUUACAGUUUUAUUAUUAUUACCUUUUAAAGCGUGAACAUGAGGCAGAAAUAACAGCCAGAGUUUCUAACUAGGGAAGAAGAGUGUUCUUCCUGCUCCCAGCCGUCCAUCAUGAAUUCCCGUUUACUUGGUAACGGGUCGCUUAAAAAAAUCCUGUUUAUAAAAAAUUGGAUGAAAAUGCUCUAAAUGGCGUCAUUGACUAGUGUGACUAUGGAUGUUUAAUUUUUUUCUAGAUCUCCUGAGCACGUAUUUUUACAAUGAAAAAAGGGGGAGUCGUUUAUUGUCAGAGGGAGGAGGGGCUAGACAGCAAGCAAAUUACAAUCCACGCAGCAGAUUUAAUAAGUGCUGUGUGUGAUGUUUGGCAAGCUUGGUUUAUAUCCGUCUACAAGGUUUGCGAACCCAUGUUGCCGAUUCUUUUCUGCUACAGAACUUUUCUCAUGGUACAACACAAAAGACCUGUGUUUACUUUUCAUUGAAAGGGAAGAAAGAGGAAAUGACAUUUUUGAAUUCUACUUCUAUUCUCGAGAGUGAUAAAGGUACUACGACACAGCUAUGAUGGAGGGAAUUCACCUAAGAACAAUAGCUUCAAUCCAGCACAGUCUUCUAGCAUGUUGGUAGCAUUGAAGAUAACAACAGUACAUCCUCCUUCAAAAUAAUGAUGCUAAAUAAUUUAAAUGGGAUGUGUUCAUUCUAAAGUAUUAUUUAGUAGAAGAAUGCAAUAUUCUACUUGCUGGCUAGAGCGAAGUAUUUCCAGAAAAUGUAAAAUGUCAUUUAAUCUUUCCAUAAACCCUCUUUCUAUCUUAUUUGGCUUGUGAAUUAGACUGUGAUUUGGCUGUGCUUUUUCUCUAUGUUAUCAUCCAAUAAAAAAUGGUAAAACACAAUGUGGCAAUUAAAGAUAUUGUUAAUAUGUAUGUGCAUGUCAUUAUCAUUUUAUAAUUUAGUAGACACAUUGAUAUUUUUCAUC
RNAcentral lists this long non-coding RNA (1011 nucleotides) under Chinchilla lanigera (long-tailed chinchilla). RNAcentral describes it as "lncRNA (ENSCLAG00000026148.1)". The record is from RNAcentral. Lineage: Eukaryota; Metazoa; Chordata; Mammalia; Rodentia; Chinchillidae.